AACAGGAGUCAGUGUAUUAGUAUGUAUUUUCGAACAGCUGGUUGUUACAUUUUCCCAAAAAAUCCCAAAAUAGACACCUAGGAACCAGUUAGCUUUUUAAAGCAUUAAAAGAUCAGAUAGACGGUUUGUUUUGGUAACUUUUACACACAGGUCAACUUACGCGAUAACGAACAAAGCCUCCCUGGUUCCCUUGCCGUCGUUUGGCGGCGUGCAGACCAAAACCACCGAGACCUAGACGACGGACCGGGCAUUACCGGGCAUGAUCCGGGCGCUACCGGGCAUGACCAGACGUUACCGGGCGUAACCGGGCAUGGACCGGGCGUUACCAGGCACGGACCGGGUUUUACCGGGCACGGACCGGGUUUUACCGGGCACGCACUCAGUGGCCCAGGUCUGAUGAAAAAGCUUCUUCUGCUGCUAGGAUUCACACAGUAUCGGCUUCCUGUGUUGUCCAGGCCAUCAGAGCUAAUUGCCCAGCAUAAGAUGGGCAGUACCGUGGCUACCAGGAGACAGUAGAUGCUCAAGAUGAGCUGUGACUAUUUUUACCCUAGCAAACGCACCCUACCCGUUUUCUUUUUGUAAAUAGUUCAUAUUUUUCAUGAAUAAAACUUCAAAUUCA
This is a long non-coding RNA of Gadus macrocephalus (Pacific cod), 619 nucleotides long. RefSeq lists it as uncharacterized. NCBI's taxonomy places the organism in Eukaryota, Metazoa, Chordata, Actinopteri, Gadiformes, Gadidae. The transcript has 2 exons. The record is from RefSeq and is a predicted model, not a curated record.